RNAcentral lists this long non-coding RNA (553 nucleotides) under Populus trichocarpa (black cottonwood). RNAcentral's name for it is "long non-coding RNA (PTRI_LNC004631)". Lineage: Eukaryota; Viridiplantae; Streptophyta; Magnoliopsida; Malpighiales; Salicaceae. The record is from RNAcentral.
CUUAACAAAAAAGAAAAGAACACACCAAAAAAAAGAAAAGAAAAAGGAGAGAGAGAGAGAGAGAGAGAGAGAGAGAGAGAGGGAGAGAGAGAGAGUAGUUUAUAGAGCUAAGCUUCAAACUAUUACCAAUCUCCAAACCGACCGGGCAAUGGCAUGUUAGACAGCCAUGACUAAUGAAUACUUACAGAAAUUAAUAUUACAAUCUCCAAUCACAAACUAAUUAAAACUCAAAGUUUCAUUUUCUCUGGCUUGCUUUUCCUCACAGUCUACUUUGGCAGGAUGGUUCUUCUUGGACCCCCAGAAGAAGCAACCGCUAGGGUUCUUACCUUUCUUCUCACCAGCAACAAUCCCUCUCUCUGCUUGCUCUAAUCUCUCCAUCUUUUCCUUGUGUAGCUUUCGCAUCACAUAAGCUUGCGCAAGACCAGUAUCAAUUGCAGCCAUUGCUAGAUAUUAUCUAUAGAGUGAGACAGACCAGAGAGGAAUAUUUAAUUAAAGGUAGAACAAGUAUUUAAAAUGUAUAGAACUGGAGGUGAAGAGGGAAGAGAGAAUCGGG